CCUGCGGAAGGAUCAUUAUUGAAAUAAACCUGAUAAGUUGUUGCUGGUUCUCUAGGGAGCAUGUGCACACUUGUCAUCUUUGUAUCUCCACCUGUGCACCUUUUGUAGACCUUGGGUAUCUCUCUGAUUGCUUUAGCAACUCAGGAUUGAGGAUUGACUUUCUGUCUCUUCUUACAUUUCCAGGCCUAUGUUUUUCAAAUACCCUAAUGUAUGUUUAUAGAAUGUAAUCAAAUAGGCCUUYGUGCCAAUAAAUUGAUACAACUUUCAGCAACGGAUCUCUUGGCUCUCGCAUCGAUGAAGAACGCAGCGAAAUGCGAUAAGUAAUGUGAAUUGCAGAAUUCAGUGAAUCAUCGAAUCUUUGAACGCACCUUGCGCUCCUUGGUAUUCCGAGGAGCAUGCCUGUUUGAGUGUCAUUAAUAUAUCAACCUYUUUUUUUKUGGUUGGAUGUGGGUUUGCUGGCCACUUUGGAGGUCAGCUCUCCUUAAAUGCAUUAGCGGACAAUAUUUUGCCAAAYGUUUCAUUGGUGUGAUAAUUAUCUACACUAUUGACGUGAAGCAAGGUUCAGCUUCUAACAGUCCAUUGACUUGGACAAUUUUUUAUUU
RNAcentral lists this ribosomal RNA (602 nucleotides) under Calonarius elegantiomontanus. Its description in RNAcentral is "eukaryotic LSU rRNA". The stretch from base 260 to 413 matches the Rfam family "5.8S ribosomal RNA". Lineage: Eukaryota; Fungi; Basidiomycota; Agaricomycetes; Agaricales; Cortinariaceae. The record is from RNAcentral.